CGGCGGACGGGUGAGUAACGCGUGGGUAACCUGCCUCAUACAGGGGGAUAACAGUUGGAAACGGCUGCUAAUACCGCAUAAGCGCACAGUACCGCAUGGUACGGUGUGAAAAACUCCGGUGGUAUGAGAUGGACCCGCGUCUGAUUAGGUAGUUGGUGGGGUAACGGCUUACCAGGGCGACGAUCAGUAGCCGACCUGAGAGGGUGACCGGCCACAUUGGGACUGAGACACGGCCCAA
RNAcentral lists this ribosomal RNA (238 nucleotides) under uncultured bacterium. Its description in RNAcentral is "partial 16S ribosomal RNA". It matches the Rfam family "Bacterial small subunit ribosomal RNA", at positions 96 to 334 of the family's 1533-position model. The record is from RNAcentral.